This 420-nucleotide ribosomal RNA is filed under the name uncultured bacterium. RNAcentral describes it as "bacterial SSU rRNA". It matches the Rfam family "Bacterial small subunit ribosomal RNA", at positions 115 to 518 of the family's 1533-position model. The record is from RNAcentral.
ACGUGAGCAACCUGUCCUUGAGGUGGGGAAACCGGUUAGGAAACGACGGCUAAUACCGAAUGUGGCGCCGGGAGACAUCGUCCCGGACGCUAAAGGGGGCCCCAAAGGCUCUCCCUCUUCGAGGGGCUCGCGCACCAUCAGCUUGUUGGCGGGGUAACGGCCCACCAAGGCUUACGGUUAGCUGGUCUGAGAGGAUGGCCAGCCGCACUGGGACUGAGAUACUGCCCAGACUCCUACGGGAGGCUGCAGUCGAGGAUCAUUCGCAAUGGGGGAAACCCUGACGAUGCGACGCUGCGUGGAGGAUGAAGGCCUUCGGGUUGUAAACUCCUGUCAUGAUGGAAAAGGAGAGGGGACCCAACACGUCCCUUAUUUGAUGGUACAUCAAGAGGAAGAGACGGCUAACUCUGUGCCAGCCGCAGC